This 471-nucleotide ribosomal RNA is filed under the name uncultured bacterium. RNAcentral's name for it is "partial 16S ribosomal RNA". It matches the Rfam family "Bacterial small subunit ribosomal RNA", at positions 28 to 507 of the family's 1533-position model. The record is from RNAcentral.
GACGAACGCUGGCGGCGUGCUUAACACAUGCAAGUCGAACGAUGAAGCCUAGCUUGCUAGGUGGAUUAGUGGCGAACGGGUGAGUAAUACGUGAGUAACCUACCUUUAACUCUGGGAUAAGCCCGGGAAACUGGGUCUAAUACCAGAUACGACCAAUCUCCGCAUGGGGUGUUGGUGGAAAGCGUUAUGUAGUGGUUAUAGAUGGGCUCACGGCCUAUCAGCUUGUUGGUGAGGUAACGGCUCACCAAGGCGACGACGGGUAGCCGGCCUGAGAGGGUGACCGGCCACACUGGGACUGAGACACGGCCCAGACUCCUACGGGAGGCAGCAGUGGGGAAUAUUGCACAAUGGGCGCAAGCCUGAUGCAGCGACGCCGCGUGAGGGAUGACGGCCUUCGGGUUGUAAACCUCUGUUAGCAGGGAAGAAGAGAGAUUGACGGUACCUGCAGAGAAAGCGCCGGCUAACUACGUG